RNAcentral lists this ribosomal RNA (497 nucleotides) under uncultured bacterium. RNAcentral describes it as "partial 16S ribosomal RNA". It matches the Rfam family "Bacterial small subunit ribosomal RNA", at positions 28 to 507 of the family's 1533-position model. The record is from RNAcentral.
GAUGAACGCUGGCUGCGUGCCUAAUACAUGCAAGUCGAGCGAACAGAUGAGGAGCUUGCUCCUCUGACGUUAGCGGCGGACGGGUGAGUAACACGUGGAUAACCUACCUAUAAGACUGGGAUAACUUCGGGAAACCGGAGCUAAUACCGGAUAAUAUAUUGAACCGCAUGGUUCAAUAGUGAAAGACGGUUUUGCUGUCACUUAUAGAUGGAUCCGCGCCGCAUUAGCUAGUUGGUAAGGUAACGGCUUACCAAGGCAACGAUGCGUAGCCGACCUGAGAGCGUGAUCGGACACACUGGCACUGAGACACGGUCCAGACUCCUACGGGAGGCAGCAGUAGGGACUCUUCCGCAAUGGGCGAAAGCCUGACGGAGCAACGCCGCGUGAGUGAUGAAGGUCUUCGGAUCGGAAAACUCUGUUAUUAGGGAAGUACAAAUGUGUAAGUAACUAUGCACGUCUUGACGGUACCUAAUCAGAAAGCCACGGCUAACUACGUG